This is an RNA transcript of Trichechus manatus latirostris (Florida manatee), 1314 nucleotides long. It is a transcript of the gene named glyoxylate and hydroxypyruvate reductase, with no coding region annotated. Lineage: Eukaryota; Metazoa; Chordata; Mammalia; Sirenia; Trichechidae. The record is from RefSeq and is a predicted model, not a curated record. The transcript is spliced from 10 exons.
CUGUUGGUUGCAUGAGGCCAGCGCGACUCAUGAAGGUGUUCAUCACCCGCAGGAUACCCCCGGAAGGCAGGGCCGCGCUCGCACAGGCGGCAGACUGUGAGGUGGAGCAAUGGGAUUCGGAUGAGCCCAUCCCUGACAAGGAGCUAGAGCGAGGCGUGGCUGGGGCUCAAGGCCUGCUUUGCCUUCUCUCUGACCGCGUGGACAAGAGGCUCCUGGAUGCAGCAGGAGCCAAUCUCAAAGUCAUCAGCACACUGUCCGUGGGCGUUGACCACUUGGCUUUGGAUGAAAUCAAGAAGCGUGGGAUCCGCGUGGGCUAUACCCCAGAUGUCCUGACAGAUGCCACUGCCGAACUCGCAGUCUCCCUGUUGCUCACCACUUGCCGCAGGCUGCCGGAGGCUAUCGCAGAGGUGAAGAAUGGCGGCUGGACCUCGUGGAAGCCCCUGUGGAUGUGUGGCUACGGCCUCACCCAGAGCACCGUGGGCAUCAUCGGGCUGGGCCGCAUAGGCCAGGCUGUUGCUCGGCGUCUGAAACCAUUUGGCGUCCAGAGAUUUCUCUACACAGGACGGCAGCCCAGGCCUCAGGAAGCAGAGGAAUUCCAGGCAAAGUUUGUGUCUGCCCCCCAGCUGGCCGCCGAGUCUGAUUUUAUUGUGGUAGCCUGCUCCUUAACACCUGCAACCAAGGAGCUCUGCAACAAGGACUUCUUCCAGAAGAUGAAAAAAACAGCUGUGUUUGUCAACAUCAGCAGGGGAGAUGUGGUAAACCAGGACGACUUGUACCAGGCCUUGGCCAGUGGUCAUAUUGCAGCUGCUGGACUAGAUGUGACCACUCCAGAACCACUGCCUACAAACCACCCUCUCCUGACCCUGAAGAACUGUGUGAUCCUGCCCCACAUUGGCAGUGCCACCCACAGAACCCGCAACACUAUGUCCUUGUUGGCAGCUAACAACUUGCUGGCUGGCCUGAGAGGGGAACCAAUGCCCAGUGAGCUCAAGCUGUGAACAGACAGGAGACACAGAGGGCCAGGAAGCAAACGGUGCCCUAGUAUUAUCAGAUGUGCCCAGGCUUGAUUUGGACCCACAGGACGGGAGCCAGGGAAAAAAGUCUGAUCUGUACUGAUUCUGUAGAGGGAAGACUGGUGCUGAUGGAUAUGGUUGCCACUUUUGCAGUUGGAAACAUCUGAGCCAAAAGACGUCAGCAGAGGCCCUGGUCAACUGUGGAGGGCCAGGCUGGGAAGCACGGCCAUUUUCAAAUGAGGACGUGGCCCCAUUCAUCAUUAGCUGGGAACUGGCAGAGUUUUCAGGGAUCUGUGAGCUC